This is a long non-coding RNA of Fundulus heteroclitus (mummichog), 640 nucleotides long. RefSeq lists it as uncharacterized. NCBI's taxonomy places the organism in Eukaryota, Metazoa, Chordata, Actinopteri, Cyprinodontiformes, Fundulidae. The transcript has 3 exons. The record is from RefSeq and is a predicted model, not a curated record.
CUCCUGGAGGUUUUCACAGAAGUUCUGAGGUUCCUGAAGGACGAUGCUCUGAAAACCAUCAAACACCAUUCAGCAGGAGGAGAGAUCUCAGCCUCUGACUUCACCUGGGUGCUGACUGUUCCUGACAGCUUGAAGGAUGUUACUAAACGGAUCAUAACAGAAGCUGCUGUUCUGGCAGGUCUUGUAGGAGAAGACACUAAAGACAAACUGGUGUUUGCUCUGGAAUCAGCAGCAGCUUUGGCCUGGUGUUUGAAGCCUCCACCUGAUGGCUUCAUCACACAGAACCACAGCAGAACCUCCCAGGAUCAACCUCCAGAACCAGCAGGCGCUGGUACCAGCUGUAACGAUCCAGCAAGAGGUCCAGAACCAGGAGAAACCAGAGUUCUGCUGGAGACCCAGAACCAAGAUCAGGAGGCAGUUCACUUUAAGAAGGAACCAGGAGGAACCAAAGUUCUGCUGGAGACCAGAAACCCAGACAGGAAACGGUACCUUGUUGUCGACUGUGGAGGUAAAUGUUAAACACGGUUAUUUAAAUGUUUAUUGACAGACGAGCUUUAAAAUCUUUGUUCACACUAAGAAUCCAGAUAAAUGAGGAUUGAUGUAAACUUUUAGAUUAAUGUUUGCUGGAUGUGAGUUUGAA